This 196-nucleotide unclassified non-coding RNA is filed under the name fungal sp. RNAcentral's name for it is "partial internal transcribed spacer region". The stretch from base 1 to 46 matches the Rfam family "Eukaryotic small subunit ribosomal RNA", at positions 1786 to 1831 of the family's 1831-position model. The record is from RNAcentral. Lineage: Eukaryota; Fungi.
AAGUCGUAACAAGGUUUCCGUAGGUGAACCUGCGGAAGGAUCAUUACAAAUCUUGAGUUGGUCCCUCCCCCCAGUGGGGAGGGCUGACACAUUAGCACAAGGCCGCAAGGCCUUGAUGUUUACGCUUGUAUGUUUGACAGAGUUUAAAUUGUGACCUUAAAAAUGACAACUUUUAACAACGGAUCUCUUGGCUCUU